UGGGGAAUAUUGCACAAUGGGCGCAAGCCUGAUGCAGCCAUGCCGCGUGUAUGAAGAAGGCCUUCGGGUUGUAAAGUACUUUCAGCGGGGAGGAAGGGAGUAAAGUUAAUACCUUUGCUCAUUGACGUUACCCGCAGAAGAAGCACCGGCUAACUCCGUGCCAGCAGCCGCGGUAAUACGGAGGGUGCAAGCGUUAAUCGGAAUUACUGGGCGUAAAGCGCACGCAGGCGGUUUGUUAAGUCAGAUGUGAAAUCCCCGGGCUCAACCUGGGAACUGCAUCUGAUACUGGCAAGCAUGAGUCUCGUAGGGGGGGGUAGAAUUCCAGGUGAAGCGGUGAAAGGGGAAGAGAUCUGGAGGAAUACCGGUGGCGAAGGCGGCCCCCUGGACGAAGACUGACGCUAAGGUGCGAAAGCGGGGGGAGCAAACAGG
Molecule: ribosomal RNA, 429 nt
Filed under: Chloroflexota bacterium
Lineage: Bacteria; Bacillati; Chloroflexota
Description: Chloroflexi bacterium partial 16S ribosomal RNA
Rfam family: Bacterial small subunit ribosomal RNA
Source: RNAcentral